AUUGAACGCUGGCGGCAGGCCUAACACAUGCAAGUCGAACGCGUGGCGGACGGGUGAGUAAUGUCUGGGAAACUGCCCGAUGGAGGGGGAUAACUAAUGGAAACGGUAGCUUAUACCGCAUACCAUCGGAUGUGCCCAGAGGGGAUUAGCUAGGAGGUGGGGGAACGGCUAACCUAGGCGACGAACCCUAGCUGGUCUGAGAGGAUGACCAGCCACACGGGAACUGAGACACGGUCCAGCAUCCUACGGGAGGCAGCAGGGGGGAAUAUGGCACAAUGGGCGCAAGCCUGAUGCAGCCAUGCCGCGUGUAUGAAGAAGGCCUUCGGGUUGUAAAGUACUUUCAGCGGGGAGGCGUUACCCGCAGAAGAAGCACCGGCUAACUCCGUGCCAGCAGCCGCGGUAAUAC
This 406-nucleotide ribosomal RNA is filed under the name uncultured bacterium. RNAcentral describes it as "partial 16S ribosomal RNA". It matches the Rfam family "Bacterial small subunit ribosomal RNA", at positions 29 to 526 of the family's 1533-position model. The record is from RNAcentral.